UACGUAGGGUGCGAGCGUUGUCCGGAAUUAUUGGGCGUAAAGAGCGUGUAGGCGGCCAGGUAGGUCCGUUGUGAAAACUCGAGGCUCAACCUCGAGACGCCGAUGGAAACCAUCUGGCUAGAGUCCGGAAGAGGAGAGUGGAAUUCCCGGUGUAGCGGUGAAAUGCGCAGAUAUCGGGAAGAACACCCGUGGCUAAGGCGGCUCUCUAGUACGGUACUGACGCUGAGACGCGAAAGCGUGGGGAGCGAACAGG
RNAcentral lists this ribosomal RNA (253 nucleotides) under uncultured bacterium. RNAcentral's name for it is "partial 16S ribosomal RNA". It matches the Rfam family "Bacterial small subunit ribosomal RNA", at positions 524 to 776 of the family's 1533-position model. The record is from RNAcentral.